Long non-coding RNA from Alosa alosa (allis shad), 757 nucleotides. RefSeq lists it as uncharacterized. Lineage: Eukaryota; Metazoa; Chordata; Actinopteri; Clupeiformes; Clupeidae. The transcript has 3 exons. The record is from RefSeq and is a predicted model, not a curated record.
UAUAUUUUGAAAGGUUUGGCUCACCGCCCUUAGCUAAUCCACUGUUUGCAAUUUUGGGCUGUAGCUUAUGCCGGUGGUAGCUCUGUAGUACUUGAUCAACUAAAAAUACUGCCUUCACGGCUUAUUUGAUGUAUUUACAUUCAGAAAAACACCCUUAGGUAAAUAUUUGCCGGAGUUACACUUUAAUUGCUGUCUUGAGAUAUAUUAAGUGAAAUUUGUAGAGAGUUCUGGCUCAUUACUUCUGCCACUGAUUACCACUUAGUUAGGAAGGUUUUUCACCUGAUUUGUUCCUUUGCAUUUUGUGUUGCGUAUCUUUUGUUUUAAAUUGUUGCUGUAUAUUAAUAUGUUGUUGUUCUAGAGUUGGCGACCUACAUUUCCUCUUCUUUCUAGAAUGUAUCAUGUUGUGGAGUUUGUCAACUCAAAGGAGGUUGAAGUUGUUCACUCCAAUUGGCUGAAAGGAGGCCAUAGUUUCUGGCCCCCUUUUGUAUCUCUUGCAAAGCUGCAUAGGGCAACUAAAGAUGGGGUGCUGCCAGGUGCUGACUGGACUCGAUUCCCAGUCCGCGUGAUGUAUUCACAUGAUGUGUAUGAGAUUGCCUGUGCGAAGCUGCAAGAGGCUACAGUUACCUCUGAUCUAAACACUGAAGAUGAGGACAACAGGCCACAUGUACAUGAAGAGAAAGAAUAGAGGCUGUAGAAGAAUAGCAAGCAGCAGUGAAGAGGAGGUGGAAGUGGAGCAGGGCAGGACUGCUGCACCUCG